RNAcentral lists this ribosomal RNA (872 nucleotides) under Melanastera paucipunctata. RNAcentral describes it as "Diclidophlebia paucipunctata partial small subunit ribosomal RNA". Lineage: Eukaryota; Metazoa; Arthropoda; Insecta; Hemiptera; Liviidae. The record is from RNAcentral.
UGUUAGGUCAAGGUGCAGUAUAUAAAAGAAAUAUAUGGGUUACAUUAUAUAUUAUGAAUGAAUUUAAUUUAAAUAAAAUUAAUGAAAUAGGAUUUAAAAGUAAAGUUAAUUUAAGAAUUAUAAUGAAUAAAGAUUCUAAAAUAUGUACACAUUGCCCGUCGCUCUUGUGAGUUAAUAUAAGAUAAGUCGUAACAUAGUAGGGGUACCGGAAGGUGUUCCUGGGAUUAUAGUAAAUAGCUUAAAUAAAAAGUUAAUUAUUUACACUAAUAGGAUAUCUAAUAGAUUUUACUUGGUUAAUAAAAUUAGUAAUGAAUUUAUUAUAAUUAAUUGUGAAAGGGGGCUUUCAUUUAAUUAUAAAAGAGAAAUUAAUUUUAUACCUUUUGUAUCAGGGAUGUUUAAAUUAUGUUAAGUAGUUAAUUUUCUCGAAAAAAAAAGAUUUAAAAUGUAAGUUAUACAUACUUUUUAAUUAUUAUUAUUAUACUUUAUUUUGGUGCUGAGAUAGUAUUCAAUUUUUUUUAUCUAGUUUCUUUUAAUUUAAUUUAAUUAAUUUAAAUUUUUGGUUGUUAAAGUUUAAAAAUCGUUUUAAGGAUAAUCUUGAAUUUUUAUAAAUAGUUAUGUUUAAUAUGUUUUGAAAUUUAGUAUUAAUAUUGUAAUUGUUUGUUAUGUUGUAAUAAAUCAAAAUUUAAUUAAUUUUUUAUUAUUUAGCUUUGGGGGAAGCUAAAGAUUAAUAAUUAAUUUAAUUAAUUAUUAUAAUUAUGAUUGUAUUAGUAGAAUUUAUUAUAUUAGUUGAUAAGAAUUCGGCAAUUUAAAAUUUCGACUGUUUAUCAAAAACAUUUUUACAAGAAAAAUAUUUGUGGUAAUACCUGCUCAAU